Long non-coding RNA from Mustela erminea (ermine), 4002 nucleotides. RefSeq lists it as uncharacterized. The record is from RefSeq and is a predicted model, not a curated record. The transcript has 3 exons. NCBI's taxonomy places the organism in Eukaryota, Metazoa, Chordata, Mammalia, Carnivora, Mustelidae.
CAACAAUUAACUUUAAAUGAUAAUUGUCUCUAAAGAUUUUUAAUUCUUGAGAGGAAGAGAAAUACUGAAAACUUCUCUAAGCUUUCUUAGAUAGUAUGAAGUUCAUCUCCUUUUCUUUUAACCUUUCUAGAAGGUUCUGGUUCUGCAAACAAGUAGGAUACAGCUCCAAGAAACUUACCAAACAUUUAAAAACAAAGAGUCAGAGCCAUACAAUGGGGGAACUGAAUGAGAUGUUGGAGACCAUUCAGGUAUUUUUACUUUUCCGUUCACAGAUGGGGAAACUUUGCCCCAAAUCACAUGACUGUUGAAUGCCUACACAGGAAGUAGAUCAAGGUCUUAGAAUUUUCUCUGAAUUUUCUACAUGGGAAGCUCAAAAAGAUGCCAUGCUACACUCUACAUUUUUUGGAAUAAAGCAGAGAAUGUGGGGAAGGAGGAGAGGGGGAAAGAAUCAAGGCAAGCCUGCUUAUUGUUGAAACUCUACCAAGUGCCCUCUUCUGGACCCCCCACUGGGAGAGGCUGUCUCAACAGGCCGGGGCGCUGCCGGACCACAGAAUCUUCCUUCUCAUACUGGAGAACUGGGCAUAGGACCCAGCAGCAAAAUGGACCCAAGAACCUUGCCCAUCCAGCAGCUAUGCCAGAAGCACCAGCUAAAUCUAAAAACCACAGAUUCAAUUAACUAAUCCCUCUCCUCGGAGUGCCAAGAAGAAAUAAUCUUGUCAACCACCCCCUUUGCCCUGAGCCCUGAUCCAAAGCUCAAUAUGCUUUUGAUUUUCCUAGAGUCUUCAAAAAAAAGAAAUGUUAUUUCAAGGCCACUCCCUGCUUUCCACAUUCUUGACAGAGGUAUGUUUUUCAUACUCUCCACAACACUGUACUGAUGGGACAGUGUUUGUGUUUAAUUUCUGUACAGUAUUUUGGUUGGUCUCAUCUAUGUUUUUAUAGUUAAUUGAACAUACGGACCCAGAUUGGUGGAAGAGGGCAUUCUGGCUAAGUUAUAUCCCAGGAACUGCUUUCCUGCUGAAAAAAAUAUAAGAUUCUUCUUCUCGUUCUUUUCUAGUCACCCGAGAACCGCAGCAGCGGCAAACAUAUUAAAUUCCAUCUUGUGAAAUAACACGAAAAAGUAUUUAGCAACAUUCCCCUUUCAACAGUGCUAAACAAGACUUGUGCUUUGUCACAGACUUUAUUCCCCAAUAUCCGAGCAGGAUCGCAGCUCAGACAACACGUUCUCAAGCAGAUGGGCUCGACUGAGUGUUUUCCUGCCUUAUCAUUUUCACUUCCUCUGUUUUCUUUUCACUCUCCUGGCACAUAAAAAUUGGAUAGUCGGCUGAUUUAUCCCCGGGGCACACACCUUGUGUCUUCUCUAGGAUGGUUUAAUUUGAUUUUUCUCAACAACAGCCAAGGACAGAAGAAAGUUUCUCAUUAGGAAAUUGCCUUGGGAGUGAUACAGAGCUUUGUUGGUUAAAGAAAAUGUUAAGUGUGAAAACUACAGCCCAGGUUACCUCACGCGCGUAUUCUCUUCAGACAGUUUCUGAGUGUUAGUGAUGUUGCGCCAACAAAACAAAAUUGAGGAUUUAAUUCAGGGCUCUCUCUUCUUAGUGAAAAGGCUACUUAUUGGGAGAGUGGUUCUGACUGACUUUGAGGUUUAAUGUGAAGAGAAAGCCUGCAGGGACUGGGCGAAGCUGGCCCUGUGCCAUUCAGCUCAAGUGGGGAGCUGACCCACCGGCUUAUUGACCCCUGACCUCUGGACCGAGACUUCCAGAACGUCCUUCAAUGUGGCGGUCAUGGUGGCAGCUUUUGUUUACCUUCAAGGAGGAUGUUUUGAGACCCUAUUGAUAAGUAAUGCUGAUUUGUAUGGAAACUUUUCAAGUUGAAAUUCUCGGUGGGUUUUUGGCUGCUUCUGGAAACCUGAGCUAAAAGCAAGGCCUCUGCCCCCUGCCGCUUGGGUUUAAUAACAAAACACAAAGCAACCAUAUAAACAGACCCUUUUAAUCGACUAUAGGCCCCAACUUCUCCCUUCUGGAAACAUGAGAACCGGGGCCUAGAACUUAUACCAUACGCAGAAACCAGAUACCCUUAGAAUCAGAAGUAUCUCCAACACUAAUUGGAUUAAAAAUCAUGAAGCGUACUCUCAGACUGGAGCAUUCAAAUCAAAUUAGACACCAUCUUAUUUUUUAAAAAUAAAGAAUUAGUGCCUUGUGUGUACAUUAUCAUCACAAGUUAAUGAGGGAGGGAGCAUGACUAGAGCCUCUCAGGUUACCAGAACGGAACUCGGAUACCACAAAAUGCUCCCUUCAUUUUUUUUUUUUUUUUUUUUUCAGGCAAAACAGAGCUAGAAUCUUAAAGUGCUACCACUUAAUUCCCCACUGAGGUAGAAUGAUGGAAUCUUCACUUUGCGAAUGAGAAAGGACCAAAGAGGCAAUGACAAGCCGGAGACCGCCCGGGGGUCUGGGAGCAGCACGUAUGCGUGUCCUCACUGCCCAGUGUUUCCUCUCAGCUGGGGGGACGUGUGUCGGUCACGCACUGGCCUGGCUCAACCAGAGCUCUGUGAUCACCCCAGUCUCGCCAGACCCUAUGUUCCUCCUUAGCGUCUCACAACCACCAGCUGAUAAAGGAGAAAAGAGAAGCGAAGCCACGAAGCAGAGGAUUUCUGCUUCCAGUUAGAUCAUUGAAGAAUGAGAAAGACCUUUGUUCCUGGGGUAACAGCCAGAGAAACUUGGCAAACGUAAGAGUGGGAUUUUCUGUCAGGCUCCUUAAAAGCAGUGGGAUGUAGGAGCACCCGAUGAACUGAGGACCAGAGAAGUGGGUCCUUCCUAGGGAGCAGCUUGCUCCCGGAUUCUAGGUGAGCAGGUGGAGGAGGAUCCCCCGCAAGUGGGGAGACUGCAGGGACAGGGAGAUUCGGAUGAGUCUGACGGGACCUGGGCUGGCGGGAAGGUGGGAUCAGGAAGAGCCCCAGACGAAUCACCCAGCCCAGCAUACUCUCUUGCAUAUUCUACCUCAUUCGAGGAGGCAGAGUGGGAGAAGAGCCGGAAAACAGGCCCCGGGGUGCCCGGAGUCAGAAGCCCAGACAGAUUUUAACCCACAAAGAACCACCAGCCUCUGGAAUCCCAACGUAACCCCUUCUUAGCUCCAGUAGGGGCAGGAUGGGAAAGGCGGGUCUAUGAGAAGAAAUGAAGAUCACUUGGAAGUAUAAACAAGUGAGUAAAUAUGACAGACUGAUUUUAGUAAAAGUGUGUGGAAGGGUGAUUGUUAAAGCCGGGAUAGUAGCAACGUGCUAUGGGGUUUAUGACAUAUUUAGAAGUAAAACAUAGGAUAUCAUAACACAAAAGAUGGCGAGCAUAAAUGUGAAUUUACUCUAAAAAUCUCACACUUGAAGUGGUGGAACAUUCAUUCAGUGUAUAUUAUAUUAAAGAUGCAAAUUACAGUCUUUGUGUAAUCAUUUUUUAAAAAAGAACAACUAAGCUAAUCUCUCAGUCUCUUUGAAAAGUGAAGAGAUGUGCUGCCCAGAUGUGCCUUCAGCAUCCAGACACUCAUUCCCCCAGUUCUGUAAGAGCCGGCGACCAGCUUCUUGCUGAAUUUCUUUGUAGAAUUGGCCUUGGCCCUGGAAAGCAGCCUCGCUCAAGGCUACAUCCCUUUCCUGGGGCAGCCUACAUUCUAGAGGUCCAGCCCCCGUGCCUCAGUUGGAGAGAGUCCAGCUCCAGAGCUCCUGGUCGGAUUGGCUAAGGCCUUCCUUGCAACUGGACCACAGUUUAGCUUCUCCCUCGGCUUGCUCCCUCCUCCCCUACCUCUUGAAGGUGUUGGUCCGGAGACCACUCCCAGGACAGCAUGGCACACUGUGUGCUGGGGAAACUGACCUACGGAAUUGCACCCAGGAGGAUGCCAAAGCUGGGUCAGCUGCCAGAACCUGCUAUGAGCACCUUGUCCCCUGGGGCUGUCAGCCUUUGCCUGAAGACAAAGACAAGGUCUGCUUUGCAAGACAAUACGUGACCACUCUCUCCUACACCUCCC